RNAcentral lists this ribosomal RNA (257 nucleotides) under uncultured Staphylococcus sp. Its description in RNAcentral is "partial 16S ribosomal RNA". It matches the Rfam family "Bacterial small subunit ribosomal RNA", at positions 103 to 355 of the family's 1533-position model. Lineage: Bacteria; Bacillati; Bacillota; Bacilli; Caryophanales; Staphylococcaceae. The record is from RNAcentral.
CGGGUGAGUAACACGUGGAUAACCUACCUAUAAGACUGGGAUAACUUCGGGAAACCGGAGCUAAUACCGGAUAAUAUAUUGAACCGCAUGGUUCAAUAGUGAAAGACGGUUUUGCUGUCACUUAUAGAUGGAUCCGCGCUGCAUUAGCAGUUGGUAAGGUAACGGCUUACCAAGGCAACGAUGCGUAGCCGACCUGAGAGGGUGAUCGGCCACACUGGAACUGAGACACGGUCCAGACUCCUACGGGAGGCAGCAGC